ACACGAGAAGGGAGGUGGUUCGGCAGAUGUAUGAGAACCGGACGCGUGAGGUGGCUGCGGGCUAGCGGCUCGCCACCACAUCCAGUGCGGUGCCGGACCAGCACGUGACAGUACGUGCAGCCGGCCCAAUCCCAAGCAGUCACCCGACCCGCGGGCUGCCGGUACGUCCGGCCGGCUCCUCCUCGGAGGAACCCAGCCCGCGGGUCGUCUGCG
This 213-nucleotide small RNA is filed under the name Streptomyces bungoensis. RNAcentral describes it as "Actinobacteria sRNA Ms_IGR-5". It matches the Rfam family "Actinobacteria sRNA Ms_IGR-5". The record is from Rfam by way of RNAcentral. Lineage: Bacteria; Bacillati; Actinomycetota; Actinomycetes; Kitasatosporales; Streptomycetaceae.